UUCUGGUCAUGACCAAAGGUUUUGGGGAUGGUUUGGCUGGAACAGAGGAGCUCGCAGCGAGUAUUGUGAGUUUGGAGGAGGAUGAGAACCAAGCUAGUGGCUAAGUCAACUGAAGAAGUUGAAACCUACAGGACACGUGGAAGUGGUGGGAGAUCCAACGUGGCCUAUCUAUCUUUAUUUAAUUUUAGUAUUUGUUUUUGUUAUGUAAUUAUGUUGAUUUUACCUUGGUCCCCACUUUGUUUGGCCAUGGUAUAUAUUGUACCUGCAUGAAGUUGAAACCCUAAGCAUUAUGAAUUAUCUCUCAUCUGAUCUCGCCUCCCUCUCUUCUUAAUUCUUCUUCUUCUUCUUAUCUCUCUCUACUCAUCAAGAUCUCUUUUUUUACAGAAAGUUUACUAUCAAAAUCUCAUAACAAUUACAAUUCUUAGCUUAUCUAUUACAUUGGUAUAUCAGAGCUUGGUUUUUGCUUCUCUUUAGCAAAGAUCGGAGCUGGGCAUGGCAGACGGUACGCGUGUUAAAGAGCUGCAAGAUGCGCAUAAAAAAUUGGAUCAGCAGCUGCAAGCAGAAACAUUAAAAAGAAAUGUUAGUGAACAUCAGUUGAAGGAGCAGAUCAAAGGCCUUGAUCUGAAGAUAGACAGCAAGUAUGAUCAGAUGGCUAAAUCCUUGGAAGAAAUCAAACAACAUCUCAUGAGUUUGAACAAAGGGAAAGAAACUGAGAGUCCAUCUAUUCUGGGUCCAACGCCAUUUACAGCAAAGAAUGGAGGUAAUCCUUCUAAAUCCAGUAAUUUCUCUUCGGGAUUUAAGUCAGAUUACUCUACUCAAUCUGGUUCGAGUUCAGGAAAUUCUUUUCAUAGAGUUGAUUUUCCUAAGUUUGAUGGUACUAAUCCUAGAGCCUGGAUAAUCAAGUGUAACACAUAUUUUAAGCUAUCGGCGGCUAUGUCCGAUGAAAACAUGGUCCAACUGGCUGUUCACAAUUUUGAGGGUAAAGCCCUCCAAUGGUUACAGAAUUUCGGGUGUGAUCAAUUGUUUGCUAUUAAUUGGGAGCAGUUUCUGGAGGUGGUAGCUAUUAAGUUUGAUGACUUGAAUGAGGGGAAGAUAGUAAUGGAGUUCAAAAAUCUUAAACAAACAGGGAGCUAUGACAGUUAUGUGGAGAAGUUUGAGGAACUCAGGGCAUGUUUGUUAUUGAGCAACAGCAUGAGUUAUGCCGAAGAAUACUUUGUAGCUAAUUUUAUCAGUGGUUUAUCUGAUGAAAUGCAAGGCUUCCUGCUUCUAUUCAAACCAAAAACUCUAAUGGAAGCUAUUGAGAUUGGUAAGCAACAGUUGUUUACCUUGGAAGCCUUAUCAAGAAGAGUCAAGCCAUCUCAGAAACCGUUUCAGAUGCAGGGAAGUAACUAUAAGAGGCCUGAGGCGACAGUUGUACAUAAACCAAACACCCCUAACAACACCAAAUCAUCAAUCAAGCUGCUCACUAGUGCAGAGAUGGCUGCACGAAGGGAGAAGGGGUUAUGCUAUAAUUGUGAUGAGAAAUACAUAUUUGGACAUAAAUGUAAGCACAAGAUGUUUUACAUGACAAUGGAUGAAGAGCAAGAGUUAGCUCACUUGCAACAUGAAGAUGAGGAAAUAGAAGUAGUGUUUGGGGAUGACCAGCCAGUUGAUGAGGUUUAUAUGACCAUGGAAUCUCUAAUGAACAGUCCAAACUCUACUACUAUGAGAGUUGUAGGUGAAGUUGGUACUAAGCAGUUAAAGAUACUUGUGGAUACAGGGAGUACUCUUAGUUUUCUAAGAGAAGGCAUGGCUAAGGAAUUGAAAUUGUUCCUUGAAAAGGAUAGGCCUAUCGUUGUUAAGUCAGCUACUGGGCAUAAGUUGAUAAGUAGACAGAGGGCUCAAGAUUUUACGUGGACUAUCCAAGGCCAUCAGUUCACCUUCUCACCUAGAAUCUUAGGUAAUGAAGGGUAUGAUUUAAUUCUUGGCAGUGAUUGGUUGAAGUUUUCGACCCCUAUUGGUCUAGAUUAUGACAACAUGACCUUCACAGUGUUUACUGGAGGCAAAAAGGUUAAACUGCGGGCUGUUACUGACACUGCUCAAUUUCAGAUGGUGACCACAAAUGGGUUAUAUCAGUUAGUACAUUACCACAGUGAUGAAAUUGAAGAAAUGUACCUGCUUCUACAUCAGGAAAGUGUUGCUCAGUAUCCAGUUUCUACAUCUAUUUCUACCCUUUUGGAGGAUUACAAGGAUGUCUUUGAUGAACCACAAGGACUACCACCAAAAAGGGGGGUUGAACACCAGAUUGUACUCAAACCUGGUAGUGUACCUAAACACCAGUUUCCUUACAGAACAACACACAGUAAUAAGGAUGAGAUUGAGAGGAUAGUGAAGGAGUUAUUGGAGACUGGUAUAGUUCAAAACAGCAGGAGCCCUUUUGCUUCUCCAGCAAUAUUGGUUAAGAAGAAGGAUGGUUCUUGGAGAAUGUGUAUUGAUUAUAGAUAUCUAAACUCACUCACUGUUAAGCAUGAUUACCCUAUUCCUAUCAUUGAUGAACUACUCGAUGAGUUGUGCGGGGCUAGCUACUUCUCUAAGCUAGACUUGAGAUCAGGGUACUUCCAGAUUUUAAUGAAGGAAGAAGACAGAUAUUUGACAGCUUUCAGCACUCACCAUGGGCAUUUUGAAUUUUUGGUCAUGCCUUUUGGCCUUUGUAAUGCUCCUGCAACAUUUCAGUCUCUAAUGAAUCAAGUGUUUCAACCGUAUUUGAGGAAGUAUGUAUUGGUUUUCUUUGAUGACAUCUUGGUUUACAGUCGAAAUUAUGAUGAGCAUCUAUUACACCUCAAGGCUGUGUUGGAGGUACUCAGGUCAAAUAUUUUAUAUGCUAAAAUGAGUAAGUGUCAGUUUGGUGUGCAAAGUAUUGAAUACUUGGGCCAUAUUAUUUCACAGGAUGGGGUAGCUACUGAUCCACAAAAGGUAGAUAGUAUGCUUAACUGGCCUAUGCCUAAGACAUUAAAACAACUCAGAGGUUUUCUAGGGCUGACUGGGUAUUACAGGAAAUUCAUUAGGCAUUAUGGGGUGAUGAGCAGGCCCCUUACUGAACUUCUGAAGAAGGACAAUUUUAAGUGGUCUCCUGCAGCUACUAAGGCCUUUGAAGACAUAAAACAAGCUAUGGUUUCAGCGCCAGUAUUAGCACUACCUGAUUUUACUCAACCCUUCACAUUGGAAACUGAUGCUAGUGGGGUUGGAGUGGGAGCUGUUUUAAUGCAAAAUCAGAAGCCAAUUGCUUUUAUGAGUAAAGCCCUAAGUCCUAAAAAUCAAUUGCUAUCAGUUUAUGAAAGGGAAUUCCUAGCUGUCAUCAUGGCUGUUCAGAGAUGGAAGUCAUAUCUUCAGGGCCAUAAGUUCUACAUUAGAACUGAUCAACAUGCAUUGAGGCACUUGUUGGAUCAAAAGAUAAUGAACCCUAUACAACAGAAGUGGAUUACCAAACUUUUGGGGUUGAACUAUGAGAUCCAGUAUAGGAAAGGAGUUGAAAACAAAGCAGCUGAUGCCCUUUCUAGAUAUCCUAGAGAUGAAGAAAGUUGCUGCUCAAUCACUACUGUCACUCCUAUAUGGAUGCAAAAGGUUAAGCUAAGCUAUGAGGGGGAUACAUAUUACUCUCAGGUUCUAGUUUCUAAGCCUGUUGACCCAUCCACUUAUGCUGAUUAUACUGUGGUUGCUGGAAUUAUUCAGUAUAAGGGAAGAGUGGUGGUAGGAUCUGCCACUGACCUUCGGCAGAUUAUCUUAAAUGAGGUGCACAGCACACCUUUUGGAGGGCACUCUGGCAUAUGGGGUACUUACUCAAGGCUCAAAUCUUUUUUCUAUUGGCCCAAUAUGAAAAGAGAUGUGGAGGCAAUGGUACAACAAUGUGACAUAUGCCAAAGGAACAAGGCUGAACAUGUGCAAUACCCUGGUUUACUCCAACCUUUACCUAUUCCGGAUAAGUUUUGGACCCAUAUCACCAUGGAUUUCAUAGAGGGGUUGCCUAAAUCUUUUGGAAAGGAUGUCAUUAUGGUGGUGGUGGACAGGUUAAGCAAGUAUGCUCAUUUCAUGGCCUUAUCUCACCCCUUUACAGCUCAAGGUGUAGCUAAGUUGUUUAUGGAUAAUGUCUACAAACUGCACGGGCCCCCAAUUAGCAUUGUUUCUGAUCGGGAUAAGGUUUUCACUAGCCAAUUCUGGAGGGAGUUGUUUAAAGCCAUGGGUACUAAACUGGAGAUGACAACGGCAUAUCACCCUCAAUCCGAUGGACAGACUGAAAGGGUAAACCAAUGUUUAGAGGGAUAUCUAAGGUGUAUGGCUGGUGCUACCCCUAAACACUGGGUAAAGUGGCUAUCUCUUGCAGAAUAUUGGUACAAUACCAAUUACCAUAGCAGCUUAAAAUGUUCUCCUUAUCAGGCUCUCUAUGGGUUACCACCACCCCAUACCGGACUAGGCGCCUACUUGAGUUCUCCUAAUCAGGAGGUAAAGGAGUGGCUCUCUCAGAGACAGGCCAUGGUCAGUGUAUUAAAGAAAAAUCUGGUCUUGGCUCAGGAACGCAUGGGUUUUUAUGCUAACAAGAAACGGACUGAAAGAAGCUUUGAAAAAGGGGAUUUUGUGUACCUCAAAUUGCAACCCUACCGGCAAAAUUCUGUCAUUCUGCGGAGGAAUUUGAAACUGGCUGCGAAGUAUUAUGGCCCCUAUCAAAUUGAAGAAAAAAUUGGUGAGGUCGCUUAUAAAUUACAUCUUCCUGAAUUUUCUAAAAUACAUCCUGUAUUCCAUGUCUCCCUGCUCAAAAAGUGUGUGGGGAAGGACGUUGUACCUUCGAGGGAACUCCCUGAUGUCGACGUCGAUGGGCAUUUCAAGGUGGUUCCUUUUUCUGUUCUGGAGUACCGCACCGUCUCUAGGAACGGGAAGUCUGUUCAGCAAGCCCUUGUCCAAUGGACUGAAACGAGCGCCGACGCGGCUGAGUGGGUAGAUCUGAAACUUUUGCGUCGGAAAUUCGCAAUUCCUGAUCCUUGCGGUCAAGGAUCUGGAAAUCAGGGGGGUAAUGUCACGAACAAGGAAGAUGGAAUGGAGAUUCUGGUCAUGACCGAAGGUUUUGGGGAUGGUUUGGCUGGAACAGAGGAGCUCGCAGCGAGUAUUGUGAGUUUGGAGGAGGAUGAGAACCAAGCUAGUGGCUAAGUCAACUGAAGAAGUUGAAACCUACAGGACACGUGGAAGUGGUGGGAGAUCCAACGUGGCCUAUCUAUCUUUAUUUAAUUUUAGUAUUUGUUUUUGUUAUGUAAUUAUGUUGAUUUUACCUUGGUCCCCACUUUGUUUGGCCAUGGUAUAUAUUGUACCUGCAUGAAGUUGAAACCCUAAGCAUUAUGAAUUAUCUCUCAUCUGAUCUCGCCUCCCUCUCUUCUUAAUUCUUCUUCUUCUUCUUAUCUCUCUCUACUCAUCAAGAUCUCUUUUUUACAGAAAGUUUACUAUCAAAAUCUCAUAACAAUUACAAUUCUUGGCUUAUCUAUUACA
This 5508-nucleotide long non-coding RNA is filed under the name Salvia miltiorrhiza (redroot sage). Its description in RNAcentral is "long non-coding RNA (SMIL_LNC004903)". The record is from RNAcentral. Lineage: Eukaryota; Viridiplantae; Streptophyta; Magnoliopsida; Lamiales; Lamiaceae.